This is a long non-coding RNA of Panicum virgatum (switchgrass), 1363 nucleotides long. RefSeq lists it as uncharacterized. Lineage: Eukaryota; Viridiplantae; Streptophyta; Magnoliopsida; Poales; Poaceae. The record is from RefSeq and is a predicted model, not a curated record. The transcript is spliced from 2 exons.
GCAGAGCUCCGCCCCAGCCCAAAGCUCGCCAGUCCGCUCCGCUCCGCUUGCUGCAGCAACUCUCAGUCAUCCCUCUCCUCCACUCACGAAACAAAGCCCCGGCCAUCGACCCUCUCCCUGAGCCACUCUGCGCCAAGAAUCGAUUCCGGAGGAGAGUCCGGAGGAACCAGGAGACCAGGAAGCCGCCGCCACCGACGCGUACGUAAGCGAAGGCAAGUCUCAUCGAUCCUUUACGUUGACCAUGCUUGAUCCUAAGUGAGGUUAACUAAAACUUGAUAGACAUAGGGAUGGCAUGAGAUGAAACACUGAGAGAAUGAGAGAAACCACUGAAUGAAGCCAUGUUGCAUGUUGAUUUACUGCCAGACCUGCAUAUUAUCAGAUCUUGUUAAAUGAUGAAACUGGGUUGGUAAUGAGAUCAAGGCAGUGCGGGAUGUGUUGGUGCAUGCGCUACCGUGGUGGUAGACAUGCGACCGAGCUCUGUCGUGGUGACAUCUCGGGUUUGGUUGGUUAUGGUUGUGGCUGCCCUGAUGAACCUUAAGGACCGUGUGUUGUGGUGCCAUCUCACCUAACCUACUUUCAGUACGACCACAUGAGCUUGUAUGGGCAAGCCUUAGCCUAAUCCCACUGGCUAACCUGGUAGUCGUCCGAGGUGGUUAUGUUUGGGGGUGAGACCUGGAUUGGUCAAGACCCGGGGGUUUAUGGGCGACUAGUCGGGGUUGAGCCACGGCUGGGUGUCGGCUAUGACGGAGCCGUCGCUGGACGGUGAAGUGCGUGUGGGUAAAGCGUACAACCUCUGCAGAGUGUACAAUCCAUUCGAAUGGUCCGUGUCCUCGGUUUGGACAGGUUACGGUGUGGACAUCUCAACUAGUUGAGCCACCUAGCCUAUGAGAUGGAUGAUUGGUUGGGUUACCUUUAAUACUAUAUUUGUUAUUUAUUCUGAUGGAUUAAUGGACCUUGGCAUAUUAAUCUGUAACUCCCUCCCCGUAAGGGUGAGGUGGGACUUGCUGAGUACUUUCGUACUCAACCCUUGUUGAUUAUUUCUUUUCAGAGGAUCCUGACUUUGUGCCAGAAGAUUACGAGUAGAUCGCGUCCGCACCCAAGGUGAUCGAGUGGAGCCGUGAUGGACGAAGAGCUAGUCUUGCAUGUCGUUAUGCUAGUUGUGAUCCUGUGGUUAUUCUGUGUAGCGCUGUGUUGUCACUUUACCCCUCAUGUACGUGUUAAAUAAAGCUCUGUAUGACUCUGGACUCCACUUGAUGUAACAUGUAUUAUGCCGGAGACCUUAUUCGGUAAUUAAUACAUGGUUUAGCCUUGAUCUUCGGGUCGGGGCGCUUCACCUACCUAACCAGCGAAUCAUCUUGGAGAA